GACGAACGCUGGCGGCGUGCUUAACACAUGCAAGUCGGACGGAAAGGCCCUGCUUUUGUGGGGUGCUCGAGUGGCGAACGGGUGAGUAACACGUGAGUAACCUGCCCUUGACUUUGGGAUAACUUCAGGAAACUGGGGCUAAUACCGGAUAGGAGCUCCUGCUGCAUGGUGGGGGUUGGAAAGUUUCGGCGGUUGGGGAUGGACUCGCGGCUUAUCAGCUUGUUGGUGGGGUAGUGGCUUACCAAGGCUUUGACGGGUAGCCGGCCUGAGAGGGUGACCGGCCACAUUGGGACUGAGAUACGGCCCAGACUCAUACGGGAGGCAGCAGUGGGGAAUAUUGAACAAAGGGCGGAAGCCUGAUGCAGCAACGCCGCGUGCGGGAGGACGGCCUUCGGGUUGUAAACCGCUUUCGCCUGUGACGAAGCGUGAGUGACGGUAAUGGGGAAAGAAGCACCGGCAAACUACGU
This 467-nucleotide ribosomal RNA is filed under the name uncultured bacterium. Its description in RNAcentral is "partial 16S ribosomal RNA". It matches the Rfam family "Bacterial small subunit ribosomal RNA", at positions 28 to 506 of the family's 1533-position model. The record is from RNAcentral.